Molecule: small nuclear RNA, 108 nt
Organism: Phodopus roborovskii (desert hamster)
Lineage: Eukaryota; Metazoa; Chordata; Mammalia; Rodentia; Cricetidae
Source: RefSeq, a predicted model, not a curated record
UUUUUUAAACAACACAGCAACACAUAUACUAGAAUUGGAAGAAUACAGAGGUUAGCAUAGCUGCUGCAGGAGAAUAACAUGCAAAUUUGUGAAAUGUUUCCUAUUUUU